RNAcentral lists this ribosomal RNA (292 nucleotides) under uncultured bacterium. RNAcentral's name for it is "partial 16S ribosomal RNA". It matches the Rfam family "Bacterial small subunit ribosomal RNA", at positions 505 to 796 of the family's 1533-position model. The record is from RNAcentral.
GUGCCAGCCGCCGCGGUAAGACAGAGGGUGCAAACGUUGCUCGGAAUUACUGGGCGUAAAGGGCGUGUAGGCGGAUAGGUAAGUCGGGCGUGAAAUCCCUGGGCUCAACCCAGGAACUGCACUCGAAACUACUUGUCUUGAGUGCCGGAGAGGAAAGCGGAAUUCCUGGUGUAGAGGUGAAAUUCGUAGAUAUCAGGAGGAACACCAGUGGCGAAGGCGGCUUUCUGGACGGUGACUGACGCUGAGACGCGAAAGCGUGGGGAGCAAAAGGGAUUAGAUACCCCCGUAGUCC